Molecule: ribosomal RNA, 511 nt
Filed under: uncultured bacterium
Lineage: Bacteria
Description: bacterial SSU rRNA
Rfam family: Bacterial small subunit ribosomal RNA
Source: RNAcentral
AGAGUUUGAUCAUGGCUCAGGAUGAACGCUGGCGGCGUGCUUAACACAUGCAAGUCGAACGAAGCAUAUUGGUUGAAGUUUCGGACGGAAACCGAUCUGACUUAGUGGCGGACGGGUGAGUAACGCGUGGGCAACCUGCCGUAAGCAGGGGGACAACAGCUGGAAACGGCUGCUAAUACCGCAUAAGCGCACGGUACCGCAUGGUACAGUGUGAAAAGAUUUAUCGGCAUACGAUGGGCCCGCGUUGGAUUAGGUAGUUGGUGAGGUAACGGCCCACCAAGCCGACGAUCCAUAGCCGACCUGAGAGGGUGACCGGCCACAUUGGGACUGAGACACGGCCCAAACUCCUACGGGAGGCAGCAGUGGGGAAUAUUGCACAAUGGGGGAAACCCUGAUGCAGCGAACCGCCGCGUGAGUGAAGAAGUAUUUCGGUAUGUAAAGCUCUAUCAGCAGGGAAGAAGAUGACGGUACCUGCACAAGAAGCCCCGGCUAACUACGUGCCAGCAGCGGC